Molecule: long non-coding RNA, 1644 nt
Filed under: Setaria viridis
Lineage: Eukaryota; Viridiplantae; Streptophyta; Magnoliopsida; Poales; Poaceae
Description: long non-coding RNA (SVIR_LNC007747)
Source: RNAcentral
UUACUUAGGAUCAGCUUGCGAAUUUGCAGCACCGUAGUAGAAUCAUUACCAACAGAGGAAGACUCUCCUCGGGGAGGAGAGGCUUUCUCGGAAGUAGGGUAUUCUAGGGAACCGUACCUGUUUUCCGACCCGAACCCUUAGCCGCCUUCCUAGGAAACGGACUAGGGAAAGACAGGGUUAGCGCCCUUUGGUAGCCUUCCAGUUCAGCUAUAGCGAGCUCUUCACUUGAUAGAAGAGCGAGACAUAGCGGAGGAAAUGGUGCUUUGUCGAUCCUAACUCCUUGCUAAAAAUGACUCGAUAGAAUGCUAAUGAGGCCUAUCCUUCCCGAAAGCGUCGGUCAAUCCCUAGUAGCUUUCUUUGCCGACCGAGAUUACCCAUCACUCGCCUUCCUGCUACCUACUAUAGGUCGCCAAGGCCUAGAAGUACAAGUGGUCGCCCUAACGGUCACUCUCAAACUCACUACUUGAGUGACGAAAGUCACUUAGCUUCUUUAAUAGGGCUUGCCAAACUCCGGGGCCCCGGGAAGAGGUUCUCUUCUUCUUCUGAACAAUACCCUUCAGUGCUGAUGAGAGUGGUAAAGAAAAGUCGACUUCCUAUUUUGAAGCGUUCUUGAUACAUUAUUGCACAUCUCAAGCACAAAUUGGAUUUCAUUGGGGAAACAUUGCUCCACUGAGGUGCUCCGACCUUCCAGCGCCGGGCAGGUGUCAGACUCUAUACAUCAACAGCCAAACCUUUUCACCCAGCUACACGCCUUCCUUCAACAUUCCUUCGUUCAAAUGACUUAAGCCCGGGGCUAACAGGGUUUCUGAGGUGAAUGGCUUAUCACUUGAGGAAGCAGGCAACGAUCAAGUAGAUUAGUGAACUCCCUUGUGUCGGGGAUUCCUUUCUUCUUCCUUGUCGUGAGAAUCUGAUCUCAUUGGUUAUAGAAAGAAGCCAGUAAAGAAGGUGCUUUUUCGAGUGAGUUGGCACAGGAGAAGAAGUAAGCAAAUAGGGCAAACCAGUUAUCUUCCUAAAAUGCUCAAUCCAAAAGGACUAUUUUGUUGUUUGUGCCAAAAGAACUCUUUAAAGCUAGUGAAAUCGGCUCAUAAGCGCCCGGCAUUUCGUAACACAUUCUCUCUAUCUAUUCUGGGAUGAGCCAUGAUUCCACUACAACCAUCAGACAUUCAUGCUCCCAUCCCUCUAUCUUUGUUUCGCUAGCGGAUCCUAUUCGUUUUUGCACUCCACAGAUGGAGUGUUCCUUCACUCGCCCAGGAACCCAUUCCCCGUCGAAAUAUGCUAUUUGCUGCUAUUCCAUCUAUUUGUGCAUCAAGUCCGAAGAAGAUCUCAGGGCAGUGGGCGUGGGACUGUAAAUCCUCUUUCGUUCGCUGGGCCUAGGCCCUUUGGACUGUAAAUCCAAACGGAGUAAGUGGUUUGAUUCCACUCAUGAACGAGAGCGAGACUGAACGAAAGAAAAUGCAAGUGAAACGAGACGAGAAUCAAAUUGUAGGCUUAUUUCCUAAAAGCGGUGACUUGACCCUACCCGGCUUGCGCAAAUCCCUCUCUAGUAGCCAAAGGUUAGAUAGAUUAAUAUGUUGAACUGAAUAGCGCAGCUGUUUUAAACCCAACCUUAUCUGAUCCAAACUUAGCUUACUUGGCUGUUUUGCU